AGUGAACGCUGGCGGUAGGCCUAACACAUGCAAGUCGAACGGCAGCACAGUAAGAGCUUGCUCUUACGGGUGGCGAGUGGCGGACGGGUGAGGAAUACAUCGGAAUCUACUUUUUCGUGGGGGAUAACGUAGGGAAACUUACGCUAAUACCGCAUACGACCUACGGGUGAAAGCAGGGGAUCUUCUGACCUUGCGCGAUUGAAUGAGCCGAUGUCGGAUUAGCUAGUGGGCGGGGUAAAGGCCCACCAAGGCGAGGAUCCGUAGCUGGUCUGAGAGGCUGAUCAGCCACACUGGAACUGGGACAGGGACAAGGCUCCUACGGGAGGGAGCAGUGGGGAAUAUUGGACAAUGGGCGGAAGCCUGAUCCAGCCAUACCGCGUGGGUGAAGAAGGUCUUCGGGUUGUAAAGACCUUUUGUUGGGAAAGAAAAGCAGCAGCUUAAUACGCAGCUGUUCUGACGGUACCCAAAGAAUAAGCACCGGCUAACUUCGUG
Molecule: ribosomal RNA, 492 nt
Filed under: uncultured bacterium
Lineage: Bacteria
Description: partial 16S ribosomal RNA
Rfam family: Bacterial small subunit ribosomal RNA
Source: RNAcentral